This 680-nucleotide ribosomal RNA is filed under the name bacterium S956. RNAcentral describes it as "bacterial SSU rRNA". It matches the Rfam family "Bacterial small subunit ribosomal RNA", at positions 52 to 743 of the family's 1533-position model. The record is from RNAcentral.
CACAUGCAAGUCGAACGGUGAAGGCGGAGCUUGCUCUGCUGGAUCAGUGGCGAACGGGUGAGUAACACGUGAGCAACCUGCCCCGGACUCUGGGAUAACAGCUGGAAACAGCUGCUAAUACUGGAUACGAGCUGCGAAGGCAUCUUCAGCAGCUGGAAAGAAUUUCGGUCCGGGAUGGGCUCGCGGCCUAUCAGCUAGUUGGUGAGGUAAUGGCUCACCAAGGCGUCGACGGGUAGCCGGCCUGAGAGGGUGACCGGCCACACUGGGACUGAGACACGGCCCAGACUCCUACGGGAGGCAGCAGUGGGGAAUAUUGCACAAUGGGCGCAAGCCUGAUGCAGCAACGCCGCGUGAGGGACGACGGCCUUCGGGUUGUAAACCUCUUUUAGCAGGGAAGAAGCGAAAGUGACGGUACCUGCAGAAAAAGCGCCGGCUAACUACGUGCCAGCAGCCGCGGUAAUACGUAGGGCGCAAGCGUUAUCCGGAAUUAUUGGGCGUAAAGAGCUCGUAGGCGGUCUGUCGCGUCUGCUGUGAAAUCCCGAGGCUCAACCUCGGGCCUGCAGUGGGUACGGGCAGACUAGAGUGCGGUAGGGGAGAUUGGAAUUCCUGGUGUAGCGGUGGAAUGCGCAGAUAUCAGGAGGAACACCGAUGGCGAAGGCAGAUCUCUGGGCCGUAACUGA